UUCCGGUUGAUCCUGCCGGACCUGACUGCUAUCGGAUUGAUACUAAGCCAUGCGAGUCUUUGUAGUAAUACAAGGCAGACGGCUCAGUAACACGUAGUCAAUCUACCCUAUGGACGGGGAUAACCUCGGGAAACUGAGAAUAAUACCCGACAGAUCAUUAUACCUGGAAUGGUUUAUGGUUCAAAUGAUUUUUCGCCAUAGGAUGGGACUGCGGUCUAUCAGCUUGUUGGUGAGGUAAUGGCCCACCAAGGCUGUAACAGAUACGGGCUCUGAGAGGAGAAGCCCGGANAUGGGUACUGAGACACGGACCCAGGCCCUAUGGGGCGCAGCAGGCGAGAAAACUUUGCAAUGUGCGAAAGCACGACAAGGUUAAUCCGAGUGUUUUCUGCUAAAGAAAUCUUUUGUUAGUUCUAAAACCACUAUCGAAUAAGGGGUGGGCAAGUUCUGGUGUCAGCCGCCGCGGUAAAACCAGCACCUCAAGUGGUCAGGAGGAUUAUUGGGCCUAAAGCAUCCGUAGCCUGCUUUGUAAGUUUCCGGUUAAAUCCAUUAGCUCAACUGAUGGGCCGCCGGAAAAACUGCAAAGCUAGGGAGUGGGAGAGGUAGACGGUACUCGGUAGGAAGGGGUAAAAUCCUUUGAUCUAUUGAUGACCACCUGUGGCGAAGGCGGUCUACCAGAACACGUUCGACGGUGAGGGAUGAAAGCUGGGGGAGCAAACCGGAUUAGAUACCCGGGUAGUCCCAGCUGUAAACUAUGCAAACUCAGUGAUGCAUUGGCUUGUGGCCAGUGCAGUGCCGCAGAGAAGUCGUUAAGUUUGCCGCCUGGGAAGUACGUACGCAAGUAUGAAACUUAAAGGAAUUGGCGGGGGAGCACCACAAGGGGUGAAGCCUGCGGUUCAAUUGGAUUCAACGCCGGGA
This 915-nucleotide ribosomal RNA is filed under the name uncultured crenarchaeote. RNAcentral describes it as "bacterial SSU rRNA". It matches the Rfam family "Archaeal small subunit ribosomal RNA", at positions 1 to 923 of the family's 1478-position model. The record is from RNAcentral. Lineage: Archaea; Thermoproteati; Thermoproteota.